UAUGCAUAUCGACUUACUUGUGCCUAAAAGCAGGACAACGAUAUUUUUUAAAAAAUCAAAUAUGCCUUUGGAUAUUUUACGGGCUUCUCUCAUACGACCAAACAAAGAAUCAUAGGACGGUGGUGGUGCUGAAAAAAUUACAGAGAUAGACAUACUUGAUUCAUACAUACAUGGACUGAAUGUCUCAAAGGUGCAUUUGGAAAGACUUUACGACGAUCGGAUGAACAACAAGGGCAAAUCGAUGGACAGAGCAAUGUAAGUGACGUUUCCGAAUGUAGCCAUAAAUAUGCACACACUAUAAAGGUCUGCGGUAACGUACCAUUAGGAUCUAUCGCCUCCUCGUAUGAGGGUGGUGCACCACGUUCGUUGGUCAACGUGGAGGGAUGGCCGAGAGAUCUGAGGAUACCAGCGUAUAAUCACCCUGUCGCUGUUUACAUUAGCGAAUACCAGCCUUUAUAACCUAAAAACCGC
Cyphomyrmex costatus is the source of this 471-nucleotide long non-coding RNA. RefSeq lists it as uncharacterized. The record is from RefSeq and is a predicted model, not a curated record. The transcript has 3 exons. Lineage: Eukaryota; Metazoa; Arthropoda; Insecta; Hymenoptera; Formicidae.